AAAAACCCUAAGGGUUCCUCCGGCAGGCUCGUCCGCGGAGGGUUAGUCAGGACCUAAGGCGAGGCCGAAAGGCGUAGUCGAUGGACAACAGGUCAACAUUCCUGUACCUGUGAUGUUUUGGGAAGGGGGACGGAGAAGGCUAGCCAAGCCAGAUGUUGGUUACUGGUCCAAGCGUUCGAGGCGUUGAGAACCGGCGAAAACGGUUUGAGCUGAGGCGUGAGUGCGAGCUGCUACGGCAGCGAAGUUGGUGACGUCAAGCUUCCAAGAAAAGCCCUAUACCCGUUAAGGCAUCAUGGCCUGUACCCGAAACCGACACAGGUGGGGUGGUAGAGAAUACCGAGGGGCGCGAGGUAACUCUCUCUAAGGAACCCGGCAAAAUGGCCCCGUAACUUCGGGAGAAGGGGUGCCACCGCAAGGUGGUCGCAGUGAAGAGGCCCAGGCGACUGUUUACCAAAAACACAGGUCUCCGCUAAGUCGCAAGACGAUGUAUGGGGGCUGACGCCUGCCCAGUGCCGGAAGGUUAAGGAAGCUGGUCAGCGCAAGCGAAGCUGGCGACUGAAGCCCCGGUGAACGGCGGCCGUAACGAUAACGGUCCUAAGGUAGCGAAAUUCCUUGUCGGGUAAGUUCCGACCCGCACGAAAGGCGUAACGAUCUGGGCGCUGUCUCGGAGAGAGGCUCGGCGAAAUAGAAUUGUCUGUGAAGAUGCGGACUACGUGCACCCGGACAGAAAGACCCUAUGAAGCUUUACUGUAGCUUGGUAUUGUGCCCGGGCUCUGAAUGCGCAGGAUAGGUGGGAGGCUUUGAUCAUCGGCUUGCGGGUCGAUGUGAGCCAACGGUGAGAUACCACUCUUUCAGAGCUAGGGUUCUAACAGUCACCCGUUAUUCGGGGACUGGACAGUAUCAGGUGGGCAGUUUGACUGGGGCGGUCGCCUCCUAAAAGGUAACGGAGGCGCGCAAAGGUCUGCUCAGGCUGGUUGGAAAUCAGCCGACGAGUGUAAAAGCAGAAGCAGGCUUGACCGUGAGACCUACAAGUCGAACAGGGAGGAAACUCGGCUUUAGUGAUCCGACGGUUCUGCGUGGAAGGGCCGUCGCUCAACGGAUAAAAGUUACUCUAGGAUAACAGGCUGAUCUCCCCCAAGAGUUCACAUCGACGGGGAGGUUUGGCACCUCGAUGUCGGCUCAUCGCAACCUGGGGCUGAAGUCGGUCCCAAGGGUUGGGCUGUUCGCCCAUUAAAGCGGUACGCGAGCUGGGUUCAGAACGUCGUGAGACAGUUCGGUCCAUAUCCGGUGCAUGCGCAGGAAUAUUGAGAGGAGUUCUCCCUAGUACGAGAGGACCGGGAGGAACGCACCUCUGGUGUACCAGUUAUCGUGCCAACGGUAAACGCUGGGUAGCCAUGUGCGGAGAGGAUAACCGCUGAAAGCAUCUAAGUGGGAAGCCCACCUCAAGAUGAGUAUUCCCAUGGCGUUAGCCAGUAAGGUCACGGGAAGAACACCCGUUGAUAGGCUCUAUGUGGAAGCGCAGUAAUGCGUGAAGCAGAGGAGUACUAAUAGACCGAGGGCUUGACCGA
Molecule: ribosomal RNA, 1568 nt
Filed under: metagenome
Description: bacterial LSU rRNA
Rfam family: Bacterial large subunit ribosomal RNA
Source: RNAcentral